RNAcentral lists this unclassified non-coding RNA (384 nucleotides) under uncultured fungus. Its description in RNAcentral is "sequence contains ITS1". The stretch from base 1 to 103 matches the Rfam family "5.8S ribosomal RNA", at positions 50 to 154 of the family's 154-position model. The record is from RNAcentral. Lineage: Eukaryota; Fungi.
GAAAUGCGAUAAGUAAUGUGAAUUGCAGAACUUCGUGAAUCAUCAAAUCUUUGAACGCAUCUUGCGCUCUGGGGAAACUCAGAGCAUGCCUGUUUGAGUAUCAUUUAAAUUCUCACAUUAGCUUGCUAUUGUGGACUUGAAUCUCUGGCCGUCAAAAGUCAGUGUUUCGAAAAUAAAUGUAAAUGUCAAAGCUUCGGUUUUGCCCGGAUUCGCGUGCGUAUGUCAUGUGUUUACGGUGUCGGGAUUUUAUACAUUGCUUCAGUGCGCUCCCAUAAUGCGAACAUUGAUUGCCCUGUGCAAUUUUCCUUUUCGUGUAACAAUGGGCGAGUAUGAAUCUCAUCAACUCUUGGUCUCAAAUCAGGCAAGAUUACCCGCUGAACUUAA